GGCAGUUCUCGGGUAAGCACCCUGGAAUUGGGCUCCCUCCUCUUUGGUUCCGGGAUGCGUCAUAUGAGAACCACA
This is a non-coding RNA of Myotis brandtii (Brandt's bat), 75 nucleotides long. Lineage: Eukaryota; Metazoa; Chordata; Mammalia; Chiroptera; Vespertilionidae. The record is from Rfam.